CGGUUCGAGUCCGCCUACCUCCACUGAAAACUACCCUGAUAACUAAACUUCAGGAGAAAAUUAGUAAAUGUGACUUAGAUUUGUCUAUAUUGAAUAAAAGAUCCUAGCUUCUUGUCAUCUUUUAAGAGUUGAUAACAUGCUGGGCUCACAUGGAAUUAUCCAUGAGAAUUCAGUA
Molecule: unclassified non-coding RNA, 175 nt
Filed under: uncultured cyanobacterium
Lineage: Bacteria; Bacillati; Cyanobacteriota
Description: partial 16S-23S ribosomal RNA intergenic spacer
Source: RNAcentral